Molecule: ribosomal RNA, 253 nt
Filed under: uncultured bacterium
Lineage: Bacteria
Description: partial 16S ribosomal RNA
Rfam family: Bacterial small subunit ribosomal RNA
Source: RNAcentral
GACGUAGGGUGCAAGCGUUGUCCGGAUUUAUUGGGCGUAAAGAGCUCGUAGGCGGUUUGUCGCGUCGGCCGUGAAAUCUCCACGCUUAACGUGGAGCGUGCGGUCGAUACGGGCAGACUUGAGUUCGGUAGGGGAGACUGGAAUUCCUGGUGUAGCGGUGAAAUGCGCAGAUAUCAGGAGGAACACCGGUGGCGAAGGCGGGUCUCUGGGCCGAUACUGACGCUGAGGAGCGAAAGCGUGGGGAGCGAACAGG